UGUGGACGUCGACUUGAGGAAGUUCAUAGGAGGGCGGUGAUGGGAAACGUAGGCCGGUCUUCGUGGCCGACGAGGUUCCACGAGAGCGCUUGGGAAGCCUCGCCGGUUCUCUGAUGAGCCGCUGAGAUGUGUCACCGGCAACUCCAAACUGAGGUGAAAAGAGAACACAAAGUUAUUAAAGCAAGCCAUGAAGAUACCAAAAUUAUAUUAUGCUUUUGGGAUCUUUGGAUGUGCGAUUAUUAUUGCUGCUUAUGUGAAAUGGAAUGACCUCAAACCAGUACAGGAAACAAUGGAAGAUGCUGCUCUUGAUGUGGAAAACCAACUCUAUAGUGAGCCAUCAGAAAUGAAUCAAGUAGUUCUUUAUGGAAUUAUGUUUGAUGCUGGAAGUACUGGAACUCGAAUACACAUAUUCAAGUUUACCCAAAACCCAAAAGCAGAAAUUCCUAAAGUAAUUGACGAAACCUUCAGAGCAUUGAAGCCAGGUCUGUCUGCCUAUGCUGACAAUGUUAACAAGAGUGCUCAAGGAAUAAAUGAGCUACUUGCAGUUGCUAAAGAAGUUGUUCCUAUGGCAUUAUGGAAAUCCACCCCUUUAGUCCUUAAAGCAACAGCUGGUUUAAGGCUACUACCAGGAAAAAAGGCACAUGAAUUGCUGGAUAAGGUAAAGGAAAUUUUUCGAGCAUCUCCAUUCUUUGUAAAGGAUGACUGUGUCUCCAUAAUGGAAGGAACAGAUGAAGGUAUUUCCGCAUGGAUCACUGUCAACUUUUUAACAGGUGGCUUAAAUGAUCCAACAAAUAAAAGUAUAGGAAUGCUGGAUUUAGGAGGUGGAUCAACACAGAUCACAUUUCAUGCAAGCACUGAGACAACUGUGGGGGUGUCAUCUGCUAGCGACAUCAUUUCGUUUCAGAUGUUUAACCAGAUGUACCAACUGUAUUCUCACAGUUACUUGGGCCUUGGAUUAAUGUCGGCAAGGCUGGCAGUGUUAGGAGGGGUCCAGGGACAAGCCUUAAAGGAAGAUGAAGAAUUGACAAGUCCCUGUUCAUCUCCUGAUUUUCAGGGUGAAUGGGAGCAUGCCAAGAUACUGUACAAAAUUAAAGGGCAGAAGGCAGGAAAGCCUCUCUAUGAAUCAUGUUUUGAUGAAGUAGCAAAAAUACUCAACCAGAAGGUUCACAGGACACCUGAAGUAAAGGAUUUAGAGUUUUAUGCAUUUUCCUAUUAUUAUGACUUGGCUACAGAUAUUCGUUUAAUAGAUAAUGAAGAAGGGGGAACUCUGACUGUCAAAGACUUUGAAACUGCUGCAAAGAAUGCAUGUGACAACAUGGAGGCUCACCAAGGAGAUCAUCCAUUCCUCUGCAUGGAUCUCACUUAUGUCAGUUUGCUAUUGCAAGAACUGGGCUUUCCAAAGAACCACAUUCUUAAGCUUGUUCGAAAAAUCAACAACUUUGAAACUGGCUGGGCUCUGGGAGCUACACUUCACUACAUGGAUUCACUUUACAAACUGCAAUAUUAAUUGUCCAGACGCCAAAAACUUAUACCUGGAAGAAGAAAAUGCAGAGGUAAACAAGCAUGUGUUGCUGAUUUCUUAGCUUCUGCUUCCAGACUAUAUAAGACUUGUGCGGCCUUUUCUUUCAUUGAGAAAUUCAUGUGUCACAAUUCUGGUGACUUGGAUCAUACUUUUUUUUUUUUAAGUGUUGUUCAAAAUUAGUGAUUCUUCAGUGAAAAAUUAGGCAUUGACAUCCAAAACCGAAAUCCUGAGCAGCAUUUCCAGGGUCAGACAAGCUGAAUGUAGACACCAGGUAAUUCAUGAGGAACAGGAUUUGAAUCCAAUUGCACCUUAGAAACCAACAAAAUUUUCAGGCUAUAAGUUUUCGAGAGUCAAAGCUGCCUUUUUCAGAUACAAAUCCUGCUGUUCUACUGCAGACCAACAGGGCUACCUUCCAUAAACUGUAAAUCAUGAGGAGAAUUCAUGUCUUCUGACUUGUCUUCUUUGAAAAAAGCACAUCUGCUCUUGCUGCUAAAUACUGAACUAGUGUCAGAUACUCACUCCUCAAGUGUGAUUUUAAUAAUGAAUAUUUUUGGUUGUUAAGGGAUUUUGUGAUUCUCUUUAACUAUAAAAACAAAUGUGUUUGGUAUGGGUGUGUAUGUGUUGAAAAGUGCAUUCUUUUGCUUAGUCUAACUUUUUUGAUACAUGUUGAGAUCACGUUUGAAAGCCAUUCUCCACCCCCCCUUUUCUGUACACCAUAUGAUUGAGGAUGUAAUCCUAAAUACAUUUACUCAGAAUAAGGCUUGUUGAGCUUAGUGGGCUUUAUUUCUGAUUAUAUAUGUUCAGGAUUGCGCUGUGGGGCACCAGGUUAUUUUGGAGGGAGUGUGCAGGUUUAAAAAUAAAACCACAAACUGAGGUGUUUGUCUUCUGUUGUUCUUGUGGGUGGUGAUUGCUAGAAUGUUAAUAGACAUGGGAGAUUGACAUGCCAGUCUUUUGCAGAAAUCCCUAUAAAUAUAGCCUCUCUAAUACAAAAAAUUAAUUCAGCCAGACAUCUUAAUGGGUCAGUGACUUUUGUAACAAUGUCAGGGUCCUGUGAUUAUGUUUGAAAUCUCUGAGGUUUGGAAGGCUGGUUGUAAUAAACACAGAACCAGAAAGUUUUAAGGGGGUUCGUGCUGGGUCUACUUGAAUCCCAUGCAAAAUAUCAAAAGGGGAGGACUCAGAAAGGGAACUCAUCUCUGGCACAGUUCAUCAAAACAUAAUUUAGCACAGUGAGUACUGGUUAUGGACUUAUGCACAAUAACUAUGCCCUGGUUAUCCUGGUUAAUACUGGGUUGUCAAGGUAAAGAGAUGGCGUCCAGUUCUGCCUCUAAUAUUCAAAAUGAGUUUUAUAUGUGAUCCAACACUGCAUCCUUAAUUUCCCGCAGUGUGUGGUACAAUGAAUUUCUUCCCCUUUUGUUGAAGUUCUGGAGGUAAAUAAAAAGUUGAAUCGCUUAAGCAGCAUUCUGUUAGAAUGAAAUGCGAAAAGGAUCAAAGUAUGACUCAGUCUGGGCACAGUAAAAGCCCAAAUCAGCCCUGGAUUAGUGAAACGCUGGGAUGUGGCAGAACUUGUUUCGUGGACUAUAUAUUACCCAACCACCUGGAAAAUGCUUGUGGGGCUGAAAGUAAAAUUUAAUGAACUUCUAUACCCUUCUCUCAUCUGAUGCCUUCUUUAUGUGUAUUUGCAGCUUUAGAAUAUACACUGCACAAAACUGGCACCAUACUGGAUUGAUAACAUGGGAUAAUCAAUAUCCCAAUAGAAAAGCUCCCUGUAUUUUUUUAGGAUGAUCAUAUUCUUCUCUUACAAAAUGCAUUUCAGUACUGUACUCUUCUGAAUACCCAGAAGUAGCUUGAAGAUUUGACAAGAAAAAUGUGAUUUUUUUCAUUAUUAAUACGUGAAGCCUGAGCAUUAUACAGAUGUGAAUUUUAUAGGGAAUUUGAGUGUUUACAAGGCUUUUUGAGCUAUCAAGGAGAACUUCAUUUUAAAUGGUGUUUGUAAAGUACCACCAUACGGGCAUUGUCUUUCUUUUAAUAAAUCAAUGUAUCAUUGUUGCACUAAGCAAAGAUUACAGAAAUCUGGACUUUUCUGCAAGACAAGGCAAGAAGUGGGCAAGAUGUGCUUUGAAGUUGCAUUUAUGAAGAUGCUUGUCAUGGAGAGAGAACUGGUGUGGAAAGGGGGAAAGGCUGCUGGUAGACCAGCAGUCUAAUAUAUAUUCAGUGAAGCACUUCAUCUUGCAGUAUGAAGUAUCUGGUCUACAGGCUACUAUAUAGUUAACAGAGCAAUCCUAAGCAGAGUUACUCCAGUCUAAGCCCAUGGGCUUAAACUGGAGUAGCUCUGUUUAGGAUUGCAAUGUUAUGUCUUUUUGGUACACAACAGAUGGCUUGUAACCACAAACUCUCUUGAUUGGGAAAUUAAACAAAUGACAUAGCUCUGUACAGUGUUUGAUUGUUGUUGGCUUGUCCAUUGAAGCAACGUGUGUGUAAAUGUAAACUGGACAUUCAAAACACAAUAUGUCAAUAAAAAUUAAUUCCAAAUUG
Molecule: RNA transcript, 4054 nt
Organism: Eublepharis macularius
Lineage: Eukaryota; Metazoa; Chordata; Lepidosauria; Squamata; Eublepharidae
Gene: ENTPD6
Gene name: ectonucleoside triphosphate diphosphohydrolase 6
Exons: 15
Source: RefSeq, a predicted model, not a curated record